Molecule: ribosomal RNA, 433 nt
Filed under: uncultured bacterium
Lineage: Bacteria
Description: partial 16S ribosomal RNA
Rfam family: Bacterial small subunit ribosomal RNA
Source: RNAcentral
AACGAACGCUGGCGGCAUGCCUAACACAUGCAAGUCGAACGAGACCUUCGGGUCUAGUGGCGCACGGGUGCGUAACGCGUGGGAACCUGCCCUUAGGUUCGGAAUAACUCCCCGAAAGGGGUGCUAAUACCGGAUAAUGUCUUCGGACCAAAGAUUUAUCGCCUUUGGAUGGGCCCGCGUUGGAUUAGCUAGUUGGUAGGGUAAAAGCCUACCAAGGCGACGAUCCAUAGCUGGUCUGAGAGGAUGCUCAGCCACACUGGGACUGAGACACGGCCCAGACUCCUACGGGAGGCAGCAGUGGGGAAUAUUGGACAAUGGGCGAAAGCCUGAUCCAGCAAUGCCGCGUGAGUGAUGAAGGCCUUAGGGUUGUAAAGCUCUUUUACCCGGGAUGAUAAUGACAGUACCGUGAGAAUAAGCUCCGGCUAACUCCGUG